RNAcentral lists this ribosomal RNA (318 nucleotides) under Triticum aestivum (bread wheat). Its description in RNAcentral is "partial small subunit ribosomal RNA". Lineage: Eukaryota; Viridiplantae; Streptophyta; Magnoliopsida; Poales; Poaceae. The record is from RNAcentral.
AUGGAUCAGAGACAGCGUGCGCUACCACGAGCACGAGGACAUCUGGGUGCGACAGUCAGAGAGCUCGUCGAGAGGCUCGGUAGGAUGGAGGGUGUCCCGCUAGCUACCCGCGUCGUUGCCAACGGUGCCAUGGGAUUUGUGGUGCACAUGGUCAAGGAGAUGUGCGGAUUCUUGGGCAAUCUCAGCUUCGAUCAACAUGUCAAUACAGGAUACGUGCUAUUCAAAGGUACAUGGGUUAAUCACAUCUUCUUACAAGGUCAUAAGAAAUUAAAUAGCCUGCUGGCUGGAUCAGAGAUGGUUUUUCAACUAGUGACAUAA